This 571-nucleotide long non-coding RNA is filed under the name Mytilus galloprovincialis (Mediterranean mussel). The record is from RNAcentral. Lineage: Eukaryota; Metazoa; Mollusca; Bivalvia; Mytilida; Mytilidae.
CAAAAUUUAGAACUUCAUGAACAUGUACAGGAAGCUGAAUUAUUGCACAUCUAUGUACUACUUAAAAUUGUACUUCGGUCUGUUGCGUCCUUAAAAUGUUCUGACCGUCCUAUGAUUUAAUGUACGGAAAUGUUUCGGUAAAUUAAAUUCAAAUCCGAAUUGAAGGUUUAUGACACACAAAAAGAGAAACCAGAAUCUCUUGAUGACCAAACGUAUGUACACGUUGGGGCGAUUUAGAGCUUUUCAGAAAGAGUGAGAUUCCACCCUUGUUGAAAGCCUUGUGGAGACCUCUAGAUUUUUAAAUUCCCUCCGUUUUUCUCAUGAAUGGAGUGUGGUCUCUCUGUAAAUUACCCCAUUUUUUUUUCAUUUUCCUAUUUACCGAAGGUCCCAUGUGAAAAUUUCCAUUGGAUCAUAUCUGUUAAACUAAAUGUACAAAACAGGCUCAAGAAAAGGCGAAAUUUCUUUUUCAAACCCGAACUAGAAAUACAUUUUUUUCUAAUAGAACACCUUACAUUAUCGUCUAUGAGUUCAGGCAUGUGAAAAAUUAUAUAAUCAUACACAAGAAAGAAAC